This 379-nucleotide ribosomal RNA is filed under the name marine Metazoa environmental sample. RNAcentral's name for it is "SSU rRNA". It matches the Rfam family "Eukaryotic small subunit ribosomal RNA", at positions 587 to 972 of the family's 1831-position model. The record is from RNAcentral. Lineage: Eukaryota; Metazoa.
AGCUCCAAUAGCGUAUAUUAAAGUUGUUGCAGUUAAAAAGCUCGUAGUUGGAUUUCGGAGUGGGCCAGUUGGUCCGCCUCACGGUGUGUUACUGACUGGUUUUCUCUCGUUCGCAAAGACUGCGUGUGCUCUUCAGUGAGUGUGCGUAGGAUUUACGACGUUUACUUUGAAAAAAUUAGAGUGUUCAAAGCAGGCUAUUGCUUGAAUACAUGAGCAUGGAAUAAUGGAAUAGGACUUUGGUCCCAUUUUGUUGGUUUCUAGGGCCGAAGUAAUGAUUAAGAGGGACAAUUGGGGGCAUCCGUAUUUCGUUGUCAGAGGUGAAAUUCUUGGAUUUACGAAAGACGAACAACUGCGAAAGCAUUUGCCAAGAGUGUUUUCA